UAGGUUUGUCGUUUCGCAAACACUUUUCUUUCAAGCCGCCACUAUUCAAAAAGCCCUAGAGCCGACUCCUAGGUCGUCCCCGAUCGUCUCCAACCUCUGUUCGGUCGAUUUUUCACCGGUUCUUAGGGUUUUCGUCCGUUCCUAGGUCGUCUCCUGUCCGUCCCGAGUCUCCUCCGUCGACCUUUCUCCGUCCUUUAGGUGUUU
Molecule: long non-coding RNA, 204 nt
Filed under: Phoenix dactylifera (date palm)
Lineage: Eukaryota; Viridiplantae; Streptophyta; Magnoliopsida; Arecales; Arecaceae
Description: long non-coding RNA (PDAC_LNC021542)
Source: RNAcentral